RNAcentral lists this long non-coding RNA (1089 nucleotides) under Salmo salar (Atlantic salmon). RNAcentral describes it as "lncRNA (ENSSSAG00000089457.1)". The record is from RNAcentral. Lineage: Eukaryota; Metazoa; Chordata; Actinopteri; Salmoniformes; Salmonidae.
CUGGGGGUCUCCUUGUCAAAUCAAAUGCUCUGCACCUUACAGGUAAUUAUCAAUAAAACGUCACAAUGUGCAGAGAAUUUUAUUUUCCUGCUGGGGAGCUCUAAAACCACAGAAAAAUAUGGGUUGGUGACAAAAUCGAAGGUCGAUUAAAAUAGAUAAACUCAGGUGCUGGUUUCCUGGUGCUGGUUUCCUGGUGCUGGUUUCCAGGUGCUGGUUUCCAGGUGCUGGUUUCCUGGUGCUGGUUUCCUGGUGCUGGUUUCCAGGUGCUGGUUUCCUGGUGCUGGUUUCCAGGUGCUGGUUUCCUGGUGCUGGUUUCCAGGUGCUGGUUUCCUGGUGCUGGUUUCCAGGUGCUGGUUUCCUGGUGCUGGUUUCCUGGUUUCCUGGUUUCCUGGUGCUGGUUUCCUGGUUUCCUGCUGCUGGUUUCCUGGUUUCCUGGUGCUGGUUUCCUGGUUUCCUGGUUUCCUGGUGCUGGUUUCCUGGUUUCCUGGUUUCCAGGUGCUGGUUUCCUGGUUUCCUGGUGCUGGGUUCCUGGUUUCCAGGUGCUGGUUUCCUGGUUUCCAGGUGCUGGUUUCCUGGUUUCCUGGUGCUGGUUUCCUGGUGCUGGUUUCCUGGUUUCCAGGUGCUGGUUUCCUGUUUCCAGGUGCUGGGUUCCUGGUUUCCUGGUGCUGGUUUCCAGGUGCUGGUUUCCUGGUUUCCUGGUUUCCAGGAGCUGGUUUCCUGGUUUCCUGGUUUCCUGGUGCUGGUUUCCUGGUUUCCUGGUUUCCUGGUUUCCUGGUGCUGGUUUCCUGGUGCUGGUUUCCUGGUGCUGGUUUCCUGGUUUCUUGGUGCUGGUUUCCUGGUUUCCUGGUGCUGGUUUCCUGGUUUCCAGGUGCUGGUUUGACCCCUCUUCAAACAGGACAGAUUGUGGUUCUGUAAGGGAGAUAACAGAAGCGUAGACUCUAGCCCUGCAGCAGGAAAAUAUGCUUACUAAACAGGCUACUCUAGCCCUGCAGCAGGAAAAUAUGCUUACUAAACAGGCUACUCUAGCCCUGCAGCAGGAAAAUAUGCUUAUUAAACAGGCUACUCUAGCCCUGCAGCAGGAACAUAUGC